GGUAUGCGGUAAAGACCCAGGCAAAUCCAGCUAGUAUUUUACUCAAUUUCUGGUUAAAAAAAUUUAGAUACAGUCUCAAAUUCAUUCCUAGCUGGCUGUCUCGGAGAUGAAUGAACAGGGGGUGCGGGGGCUGUUUUGCCCCCGUUGGUGUAGAUGAACGAAGCAUUUAAUAUUCCAGAAUCAAUACCCAUUGCAUUUCUUCUCUAGUUUUAUGGCUGUGACCUUCCUGAUUGAAGUAAUGGCCUCUGCAAAUGCACAUGUACUUUGGAACAGGAAAUAUGACAACCAUAAAGUGAAUGAAAUGAAGUUGAAAGAAAGUGUCCUUUUCUCUGAAAAGAAAGCAGAAGGGUCCAAAAAGCCCUCCGGCUGGAAAUCAGAGUCUUUUAGAGAAGCUUUCCUGAAGAGGUCACCCUGAUGUUACCUGGAGAGAUAGCAACAACGGCCUGUUCUCACGGCAGACUUCCAGCACCCGGAGCUAAUUCCCCAUGCUGCUUCAGGCUCCUUUCCUGACCCAAGGCAAGUUACCGAAAUCUCUGUGUGCUCUUGGCAAAGCUGGUGUAGACAUCUAAACUUGUGUGAU
This 580-nucleotide long non-coding RNA is filed under the name Struthio camelus australis. Its description in RNAcentral is "lncRNA (ENSSCUG00000016148.1)". Lineage: Eukaryota; Metazoa; Chordata; Aves; Struthioniformes; Struthionidae. The record is from RNAcentral.